RNAcentral lists this ribosomal RNA (301 nucleotides) under uncultured bacterium. RNAcentral's name for it is "partial 16S ribosomal RNA". It matches the Rfam family "Bacterial small subunit ribosomal RNA", at positions 509 to 807 of the family's 1533-position model. The record is from RNAcentral.
CAGCAGCCACGGUAAUACGUAGGGUGCGAGCGUUAAUCGGAAUUACUGGGCGUAAAGCGUGCGCAGGCGGUUCGUUAAGACAGAUGUGAAAUCCCCGGGCUUAACCUGGGAACUGCAUUUGUGACUGGCGAGCUAGAGUAUGGCAGAGGGGGGUAGAAUUCCACGUGUAGCAGUGAAAUGCGUAGAGAUGUGGAGGAACACCGAUGGCGAAGGCAGCCCCCUGGGCCAAUACUGACGCUCAUGCACGAAAGCGUGGGGAGCAAACAGGAUUAGAUACCCCGGUAGUCCCUGUCUCUUAUAC